RNAcentral lists this ribosomal RNA (422 nucleotides) under uncultured bacterium. RNAcentral describes it as "bacterial SSU rRNA". It matches the Rfam family "Bacterial small subunit ribosomal RNA", at positions 355 to 774 of the family's 1533-position model. The record is from RNAcentral.
UGAGGAAUAUUGGGCAAUGCCCGCAAGGGUGACCCAGCAACGCCGCGUGGAGGAUGAAUGUCGUAAGAUUGUAAACUCCUGUUAGAGGGGAAGAAUAGUACCGGUUGGACCGGUAUAUGACUGUACCCUCAGAGAAAGCCCCGGCUAACUACGUGCCAGCAGCCGCGGUAAUACGUAGGGAGCAAGCGUUGUCCGGAUUUACUGGGUGUAAAGGGCGCGCAGGCGGGAUAAAAAGUCAGUGGUGAAAUCCUACAGCUUAACUGUAGAACUGCCUUUGAUACUUUUAUUCUUGAGUUCGGGAGAGAGAGACGGAAUUCCAGGUGUAGUGGUGAAAUACGUAGAUAUCUGGAAGAACACCAGUUGCGAAGGCGGUCUCUUGGUCCGACACUGACGCUGAGGCGCGAAAGCGUGGGGAGCAAACA